UGAGUAAUGCCUAGGAAAUUGCCCUGAUGUGGGGGAUAACCAUUGGAAACGAUGGCUAAUACCGCAUGAUGCCUACGGGCCAAAGAGGGGGACCUUCGGGCCUCUCGCGUCAGGAUAUGCCUAGGUGGGAUUAGCUAGUUGGUGAGGUAAGGGCUCACCAAGGCGACGAUCCCUAGCUGGUCUGAGAGGAUGAUCAGCCACACUGGAACUGAGACACGGUCCAGACUCCUACGGGAGGCAGCAGUGGGGAAUAUUGCACAAUGGGCGCAAGCCUGAUGCAGCCAUGCCGCGUGUGUGAAGAAGGCCUUCGGGUUGUAAAGCACUUUCAGUCGUGAGGAAGGUAGUGUAGUUAAUAGCUGCAUUAUUUGACGUUAGCGACAGAAGAAGCACCGGCUAACUCCGUGCCAGCAGCCGCGGUAAUACGGAGGGUGCGAGCGUUAAUCGGAAUUACUGGGCGUAAAGCGCAUGCAGGUGGUUUGUUAAGUCAGAUGUGAAAGCCCGGGGCUCAACCUCGGAAUUGCAUUUGAAACUGGCAGACUAGAGUACUGUAGAGGGGGGUAGAAUUUCAGGUGUAGCGGUGAAAUGCGUAGAGAUCUGAAGGAAUACCGGUGGCGAAGGCGGCCCCCUGGACAGAUACUGACACUCAGAUGCGAAAGCGUGGGGAGCAAACAGGAUUAGAUACCCUGGUAGUCCACGCCGUAAACGAUGUCUACUUGGAGGUUGUGGCCUUGAGCCGUGGCUUUCGGAGCUAACGCGUUAAGUAGACCGCCUGGGGAGUACGGUCGCAAGAUUAAAACUCAAAUGAAUUGACGGGGGCCCGCACAAGCGGUGGAGCAUGUGGUUUAAUUCGAUGCAACGCGAAGAACCUUACCUACUCUUGACAUCCAGAGAACUUUCCAGAGAUGGAUUGGUGCCUUCGGGAACUCUGAGACAGGUGCUGCAUGGCUGUCGUCAGCUCGUGUUGUGAAAUGUUGGGUUAAGUCCCGCAACGAGCGCAA
This 998-nucleotide ribosomal RNA is filed under the name Vibrio parahaemolyticus. Its description in RNAcentral is "bacterial SSU rRNA". It matches the Rfam family "Bacterial small subunit ribosomal RNA", at positions 107 to 1101 of the family's 1533-position model. Lineage: Bacteria; Pseudomonadati; Pseudomonadota; Gammaproteobacteria; Vibrionales; Vibrionaceae. The record is from RNAcentral.